This 255-nucleotide ribosomal RNA is filed under the name uncultured bacterium. RNAcentral's name for it is "partial 16S ribosomal RNA". It matches the Rfam family "Bacterial small subunit ribosomal RNA", at positions 97 to 353 of the family's 1533-position model. The record is from RNAcentral.
GGCGGACGGGUGAGUAAUGUCUGGGAAACUGCCUGAUGGAGGGGGAUAACUACUGGAAACGGUAGCUAAUACCGCAUAACGUCGCAAGACCAAAGAGGGGGACCUUCGGGCCUCUUGCCAUCGGAUGUGCCCAGAUGGGAUUAGCUAGUAGGUGGGGUAACGGCUCACCUAGGCGACGAUCCCUAGCUGGUCUGAGAGGAUGACCAGCCACACUGGAACUGAGACACGGUCCAGACUCCUACGGGAGGCAGCAUG